UCUAUUGAUGACCGCUUCUUCUGCAAAAUAUAAUAACAAGUAUCAAUUUUCUAAUAAAGUUAGAUAAUUUAGAUAUUAAUUGAUACUUUUUAUGUCAAUUUGUGACAUAAAUCACACCCCCAACUUAAUCAUUGCUAGUCCCUUAGCAAUGUACCAAAAUAAGAUCGUAUUCCAAAAAAAUCCUUCCUUUGCAAAUUAAUUUAAGAUCGAAAUUCAAGAAGUUUUCUAGUAUUACUAAGUAAUGAGCUUCGAAUUAGAAUCGGUAGUCAGUCUACUUAGGAGCUUUCUUAGAGUACACUUAAAGUUUUAUAGCACUUGUGUGAGUGAUAACUAACUUAGUAUUUCAGUAUUAACGUGUANNNNNNN
RNAcentral lists this long non-coding RNA (366 nucleotides) under Elaeis guineensis (African oil palm). Its description in RNAcentral is "long non-coding RNA (EGUI_LNC011570)". The record is from RNAcentral. Lineage: Eukaryota; Viridiplantae; Streptophyta; Magnoliopsida; Arecales; Arecaceae.